AACGAACGCUGGCGGCAUGCCUAACACAUGCAAGUCGAACGAGACCUUCGGGUCUAGUGGCGCACGGGUUCGUAACGCGUCGGAACCUGCCCUUAUGGUCGGAAUAACUCCCCGAAAGGGGUGCUAAUACCGGAUAAUGUCUUCGGACCAAAGAUUUAUCGACUUUGGAUGGGCCCGCGUUGGAUUCGCUAGUUGGUAGGGUAAAAGCCUACCAAGGCGACGAUCCAUAGCUGGUCUGAGAGGAUGAUCAGCCACACUGGGACUGAGACACGGCCCAGACUCCUACGCGAGGCAGCAGUGGGGAAUAUUGGACAAUGGGCGAAAGCCUGAUCCAGCAAUGCCGCGUGAGUGCUGAAGGCCUUAGGGUUGUAAAGCUCUUUUACCCGGGAUGAUAAUGACAGUACCGGGAGAAUAAGCUCCGGCUAACUCCGUG
RNAcentral lists this ribosomal RNA (433 nucleotides) under uncultured bacterium. RNAcentral describes it as "partial 16S ribosomal RNA". It matches the Rfam family "Bacterial small subunit ribosomal RNA", at positions 29 to 507 of the family's 1533-position model. The record is from RNAcentral.